CGCGAGCGAUCUUUACGGCAAGCAUGGAAGAGCACACGGUGGAUGCCUUGGCACCGAGAGCCGAUGAAGGACGUGGGAAGCUGCGAUAAGCCCUGGUGAGGAGCUAACCAUCCGUCGAACCAGGGAUUUCCGAAUGGGGAAACCCGGCUGGGGUCAUGCCCGGUCAGGCCUGUCUGAAUACAUAGGGCAGGUACAGGGAACCCGGGGAACUGAAACAUCUCAGUACCCGGAGGAAGAGAAAGCAACCGCGAUCCCCUGAGUAGUGGUGAGCGAAAAGGGGUCGAGCCUAAACCGUCGUCGUGUCAAGCUGGCAGGCGUUGCGUCGACGGGGUUGUGGGAGCGUUGUUGAAGGGGCUGUCACCUCUUCGAGGAGUUACAAAUCUCGCAUGUAGCGGAACAGGUUGGAAAGCCUGGCCGUAGACGGUAACAGCCCGGUACGUGAAGCAUGUCGAGACUCCUUUCAACGUUUUCCCGAGUAGGGCGGGGCCCGUGAAAUCCCGUCUGAAUCUGCGAGGACCACCUCGUAAGGCUGAACACUCCUCGGUGACCGAUAGCGGACAAGUACCGUGAGGGAACGGUGAAAAGCACCCCGGGAGGGGAGUGAAAGAGAACCUGAAACCGUGUGCUUACAAACCGUCGGAGCAUGCCCUUGUGGUGUGUGACGGCGUGCCUUUUGAAGAAUGAGCCUACGAGUUAGCCGUCACUGGCAAGGUUAACCUGUUGAGGGGAAGCCGGAGCGAAAGCGAGUCUGAACAGGGCGUUCAGUCGGUGGCGCUAGACCCGAAACCAAGUGAUCUAUCCAUGGCCAGGGUGAAGCGAGGGUAAGACCUCGUGGAGGCCCGAACCGUUGUAGGUUGAAAACUGCUCGGAUGAGCUGUGGAUAGGGGUGAAAGGCCAAUCAAACUUGGUGAUAGCUGGUUCUCCCCGAAAUGCAUCUAGGUGCAGCGUCACGUGUUUCUUGUCGGGGGUAGAGCACUGUUUGGGCUAGGGGGCCUAAAAGCUUACCGAACUCAGGCAAACUCCGAAUACCGACAAGUGAGAGCGUGGCAGUGAGAACGCGGGGGAUAAGCUCCGUGUUCGAGAGGGAAACAACCCAGACCGCCAGCUAAGGUCCCUAAAUCACGACUGAGUGGAAAAGGAUGUGAGGUCGCACAGACAACCAGGAGGUUGGCUUAGAAGCAGCCACCCUUGAAAGAGUGCGUAAUAGCUCACUGGUCAAGUGGCCUUGCGCCGAUAAUGUAACGGGGCUAAGUCGUGUACCGAAGCUGCGGAUCCGACCCAUCAACGUGAAAGCGGGGUCGGGUGGUAGGGGAGCGUCGACGCGCGUGUGAAGCUGCCGGGUUACCGAGUGGUGGAUGCGUGUCGAGUGAGAAUGUAGGCAUGAGUAGCGAAAGGGGAGGGAGGAACUCCCCCGCCGAUUGACCAAGGGUUCCUGGGGAAGGUUCAUCCGCCCAGGGUAAGUCGGGACCUAAGGUGAGGCCGCGAGGCGUAACCGAUGGACAACGGGUUGAUAUUCCCGUACCACCUUCAGCGCGUCUAUACCGAACGUCGUAUGCUAACGGCAUCUACGGAUGUCGGACCCUGCGGCUAGUAGGUCACCGAUGGCGUGACGGAGGAGGCUAGGUGAUCCCGGGCGUUGGUUGUCCCGGGCCAAGCGUGUAGGCCGUGGACCAGGGAAAUCCGGUCCACAUACAGGCUGAGACGUCAUGGGGAACUUCUUGUGAAGUCACCGAUGCCAUGCUCCCAAGAAAAGCGUCUAGGGAGUUCUGAGGGUGCCCGUACCCCAAACCGACACAGGUGGUCAGGUAGAGAAUACCGAGGCGAUCGAGCGAAUUCCGGUUAAGGAACUCGGCAAAUUGGCCCCGUAACUUCGGGAUAAGGGGCGCCACGGCUGGUCAACCACUUCGCGUGGGGYAGCUGGACGUGGCCGCAGUGAUCAGGCCCAAGCGACUGUUUACCAAAAACACAGGAGCGUGCGAACACGUAAGUGGAUGUAUACGCUCUGACGCCUGCCCGGUGCUGGAACGUUAAGCGGAGAGGUCAGACCUUCGGGUCGAAGCUUCGAAGCCAAGCGCCAGUAAACGGCGGCCGUAACUAUAACGGUCCUAAGGUAGCGAAAUUCCUUGUCGGGUAAGUUCCGACCUGCACGAAUGGCGUAACGACUUGGGCACUGUCUCAACCGGAAGCUCGGCGAAAUUGCACCGCGAGUAAAGAUGCUCGCUACGCGCAGCAGGACGGAAAGACCCCGGGACCUUUACUGUAGCUUGGUAUUGGAGCUCGGUACGUCACGUGCAGGAUAGGUGGGAGACUACGAAGCGGACACGCCAGUGUUCGUGGAGUCAUCCUUGGAAUACCACCCUUGACGUGCUGAGUUCCUAACCUCGACCCAUCAUCUGGGUCAGGGACCGUGCCUGGCGGGCAGUUUAACUGGGGCGGUUGCCUCCUAAAAGGUAACGGAGGCGCCCAAAGGUUCCCUCAGACCGGUCGGCAAUCGGUCGUCGAGUGUAAAGGCACAAGGGAGCUUGACUGCGAGACAGACAUGUCGAGCAGGUGCGAAAGCAGGGCUUAGUGAUCCGACGGUGGCAUGUGGAAGCGCCGUCGCUCAACGGAUAAAAGGUACCCCGGGGAUAACAGGCUGAUCUUCCCCAAGAGUCCAUAUCGACGGGAAGGUUUGGCACCUCGAUGUCGGCUCAUCGCAUCCUGGGGCUGGAGCAGGUCCCAAGGGUCGGGCUGUUCGCCCGUUAAAGCGGUACGCGAGCUGGGUUCAGAACGUCGUGAGACAGUUCGGUCCCUAUCCGCUGCGCGCGUUGGUGAUUUGACAGGAGCUGCCCCUAGUACGAGAGGACCGGGGUGGACGUACCUCUGGUGUGCCGGUUGUCCUGCCAAGGGCACGGCCGGUUAGCUACGUACGGACGGGAUAAGCGCUGAAGGCAUCUAAGCGCGAAGCCCACCUGGAGAUGAGAUCACCCACUCCCUCGAGGAGGUAAGGGCCCCAGCCAGACGACUGGGUCGAUAGGCCGGACGUGGAAGCCAGGCAACUGGUGCAGCUGACCGGUACUAAUAGCCCGAGGGCUUGCCG
RNAcentral lists this ribosomal RNA (3079 nucleotides) under Profundirhabdus halotolerans. RNAcentral describes it as "23S ribosomal RNA". It matches the Rfam family "Bacterial large subunit ribosomal RNA". The record is from RNAcentral. Lineage: Bacteria; Bacillati; Actinomycetota; Nitriliruptoria; Nitriliruptorales; Nitriliruptoraceae.